Long non-coding RNA from Prunus avium (sweet cherry), 910 nucleotides. RefSeq lists it as uncharacterized. NCBI's taxonomy places the organism in Eukaryota, Viridiplantae, Streptophyta, Magnoliopsida, Rosales, Rosaceae. The record is from RefSeq and is a predicted model, not a curated record.
GAACAGAAAUUAGACCUUUCAAACAAAAUCUAUUCGCGCUCUCCCUUUUUUCCCACAGUCCCACUCUUCUCGCUAAAAAUGAAAAUCCCCAGAUCCCUUCAGAUCUCUAUCCCUCGGAGAGAUCGUAACGACGCUUCGUCGGUGUGUGAGAUCAUUGAAUCAAAGAUGAUCGACUCUCACUUUACAACCCUUAUUACUAACGAGGAGGCUCGGUCCCGUCGCGAGAUCGUGACUGGAACGGCAGCUAGUAAGCGGUGGUUCUGAAUCCUGAUGGCGGCAGCUGAAGCAUUUAGGUAUGGCUGCCUCAUUUCCGCUUCUGAAGCUGCAAGAGAUGGUGGCAUUCUUAUUGGAGCUUUGCAUAAAUCAGAUUUCUAUGCAUUUUUUUGGGCAGACGGUUAGUUUUCUUUUGGGUUCCUAUGAUUAUGAACGCUAUCUGGCUCCCCUUCCCUCCCCGCUGCUUUCAGGUAAUCACUCCUUCACUAUGUCAGGAGACCAUGGUAACAUCAUGAUCUGCAGCCAAUCUCUGGUAGAUGGCUACUGGUGCUCCUGACAUGGUGGAGAAGCGAUUACCUGAGAGCAAAGAGGAGGGUAUGCAGGUACCGUUCAUUAUCAUAGGAAUCCUAGAAAGUUGCAUAACCGCCAACUUCAGUUCUGGAGUGGUCAAUGGCUGACGCGGUCAAGUGCAGAUAUUAAUAAUGUUAGAUUGAAUGUACAAGGAGUUGGGAUUCACAAAACUAGUUACACGUCGUAGCGGAUAACAAGUAUGCUUGGACUUUUGCCCUUCACACUAUCGAAUUACCUGCCUCUAUCGAAUGUCAGCCCUGAGCGUGUAUGCCCAAUGCAUGAUUAUUCUUGGAUUAAUCGGUCUAAAUGUGUAUUGAAAUUUUGGUAAAAAUAAAUUCAGCAAACA